RNAcentral lists this ribosomal RNA (371 nucleotides) under uncultured bacterium. RNAcentral's name for it is "bacterial SSU rRNA". It matches the Rfam family "Bacterial small subunit ribosomal RNA", at positions 527 to 896 of the family's 1533-position model. The record is from RNAcentral.
GUAGGGUGCGAGCGUUAAUCGGAAUUACUGGGCGUAAAGGGUGCGCAGGCGGUGCCGCAAGUCAGGCGUGAAAUCCCCGGGCUUAACCUGGGAAUGGCGCUUGAAACUACGGGACUGGAGUAUGGCAGAGGGAGGUGGAAUUCCACGUGUAGCGGUGAAAUGCGUAGAGAUGUGGAGGAACACCGAUGGCGAAGGCAGCCUCCUGGGCCAAUACUGACGCUCAUGCACGAAAGCGUGGGGAGCAAACAGGAUUAGAUACCCUGGUAGUCCACGCCCUAAACGAUGAUGACUAGUUGUUGGAGGAGUUAAAUCCUUUAGUAACGCAGCUAACGCGAGAAGUCAUCCGCCUGGGGAGUACGGUCGCAAGAUUA